Molecule: ribosomal RNA, 253 nt
Filed under: uncultured bacterium
Lineage: Bacteria
Description: partial 16S ribosomal RNA
Rfam family: Bacterial small subunit ribosomal RNA
Source: RNAcentral
UACGGGGGGGGCAAGCGUUGUUCGGAAUUACUGGGCGUAAAGCGCACGUAGGCGGCUUUGUAAGUUAGAGGUGAAAGCCCGGGGCUCAACUCCGGAAUUGCCUUUAAGACUGCAUCGCUAGAAUUGUGGAGAGGUAAGUGGAAUUCCGAGUGUAGAGGUGAAAUUCGUAGAUAUUCGGAAGAACACCAGUGGCGAAGGCGACUUACUGGACACAUAUUGACGCUGAGGUGCGAAAGCGUGGGGAGCGAACAGG